Molecule: RNA transcript, 7709 nt
Organism: Felis catus (domestic cat)
Lineage: Eukaryota; Metazoa; Chordata; Mammalia; Carnivora; Felidae
Exons: 4
Source: RefSeq, a predicted model, not a curated record
UUUUUUUUUAAAAAAGGCAAGAAACCAAGGCAGAAAGCCAAGAGAGAAGAGAAAAAUCAAUGUAGAAACAUCACAACAAUGGAACAAAAAACAACUAAAUUGGUAGAAAUAACUCUGAGUAUAUCAACAACAACAACAACAACAACAAUAAUAGUGAAUUACUGAUCUCUCCAGUAAAAAGUAUAUGUCAUUAAGACAGGAUUAAAAAAAUCCAACCAUGUGCUGUUUACAAGAUCACAUCUAAAAUGUAAGGACCAGAAAUGUUUUAAGUAAAACAAUAGAGAUGAUAUACCAAGCAAAUAUAAACCAAAAGAAAGUUGGUAUUUUUAUAGUAGAUAAAAUAGACUUAAAUUUAAGGGAAAAACAUUACUAGAGUUAUAGGGUCAUUACAUAAUGAUGGAAGUUUUAAAUCACUGGGAGGAAGAUUGUGAUGUGCUGCAUAGAGUCCUUUUCAGGAUUUAUCACUUCAUCUGCUGAGAAUGUCAUCUGCAUGUAACUCUCAGCCAUCAGUCCACAAGGGAGAUUGGAACCUCCUUAACCAAGUUCACACUUUCUUCCCCCAGCAUCUCAAAACAAAUGACCAACAAAUGAUAGACCAAUGGGGACACCCUGAAGGGUCAGUCCAUCUUUGGAACUCCUCACAUGGUCAGUUUAGACAUUCCAUUGAGACCACAUCACAUUUUGACUCCUCUCUCUGGCCACUCCUGUUUCCUUCCCUUCCACAGGUGUUGAAUGCAAAAGCACUUCCUAAUGAAUCUCCUACAUACUCAUUUCUGUCUCAGCAUUGGUUCCUGGAAAACCCAGACUGCAACAAAUGGUACCAGAAAGACCCAAGAAAAGCAAGUUCGGGGAUGAGAUUUGGGAGCAGUCUCACCCACCCUCAGUUUGUCCUGGAGAUUCCAAACCUGAUGAGGCCAGCAGAGUGUCUGGUAAGAUCAACAAAUGAACCAGCUCCAAACAAGGUGUUAAUGGCUGAUGUCAAGUCAGUGAGAGCAUGGAGAAGGGCCACCAUUUGUUUGCCAGUGUUUCUUCUUCCUGAGAUCUGCUGUCUUGGCUCUUGUGUGAUCAAGGCCAGUGUCCAGAACAUAAGCCUUGAUCUCAGAAGGUGAAGUAAAAUGGCGUGAUAUCUUCUUGUGUGAUUCAGAGAGUUUCUCAAUUGACACCUGGGCCAGUCUAAUCUUAGGCAUGGGCCUUAUUCCAGAAAACAGCUUUCCCUCCAUUGCACCCAGGGAAGCCAGAAAAAUCACCUUAUGAGAAAAAUGUAUCAAUACAGUAAUGAAUGAAGAUGUUCCUGAGCUAUAUUUAAAAUGCCAUGGUAAGUACAAAUUGUAAUUCUCAGAGGUUACUAUAAUUUUGGGUGGAUAAUCAAAAAAUUGUUUUAAACUUCAUCAGUUCUUAUGCUUUGUCAUUUGAGAACCUGGGCUGAGCUUUAAACAUAGCACAUUUAUAUGAUGGGACAAACCUUAAUGACUACGAGAUUCUCCUCAGAGUUCAUCUUCUCUCUGGUCAAUUUCAUGACUCAAGAGAGCUGGAGCUGGUAGUUGGGAAUGAGCUGAUUUUUGUCUUUAAGGAUAUAUAAAAUAUAAAUCAUAUCCUGACUAUGAAGGUCAUAAGUUACCAUUUAAGUUGGCUCUGUUUACUCUUUACUUCCCUAAAGACCUACCACAAAAUGAUGAAGAAAAAUCUAUGGAAGAUAAUGAAUUUUCAUGUUACACCAUGUUCUUAAUUAUUUAAAGUCUACUGAGAGAGAGAGAGUGAGAGAAAGAGAGAGAAAGAAAAAGAGAUACUUGGACAGACUGAGAUCAAGUCACAGAAAAAGGAAGAAUGGACAGGAGUCAGGAGCUAAAGGAGUCAGAAUUUGAAGCGGUGCUAAUACUCCUAAGUAUCAUUACUAAGCUUGUUACAAAAUUCACACAUCAACCCUUAUCUAUUAAAUUUUAAAUUUGCCUCUGACAAAGACAGUGACCUGAAAGGCAGUCCAGAGUCCUUAGACUUAACUCCCAGAAGGUAAUUUGUUACCCGACACUCCACAUAGUUCACACAGCAUCUGAUGGUUCCAAGGAGGAUCUUCAGUGUAUUUCUAGCAAGAGCAGAAGAUAUUUCUUUGGCUUCCAAAUUCAAAGAGACUAGUAUAUAUAAAUUUUGUUGCCCUUGAAUUUUUCUGAAUCUUAUUGGCACUAGGCAAAUUUUAAGUUCCCCGGAGGUCCAUUUGAGGACUGAAGAUGUCCCCAUGUAUGAAAGGGGUUCUGGGUCAUAAAGAGGAAAGAAAAGAAAAGAGAAAGGGAACCACAUGGAGACCUCAUACCACUUGGGUGGGAGCGCUGACAGGCAGUAGCUGAAGGGGAGUUUGUGGUUAUUGCCCUGUUAACAGGUCCCUCUGGAAAUCCAUCAUUGGAGGGGGAGUCCCGAAGCAAGGUGUGGGAAUUGAAAAAAUGGAAAACAGGAAAUGCACACCAACAAUAAAAAGUAGACUUUUUAAUGAAAAACAUAUCUAUAACGUCCAGUGUUUCAGCCAUAAGAGAUGUAAAAUUCUUGGAAACAUUUAUUAGUGAGAAGAGCGAGCCACACUUUAGGUUCCUUAUAAUGAUCUCAUCUUCAAAGGGAAGGAUAAGGAGAAAAUGCAUAGAAUGAAAAAUUUUACCCAUAAAUAUAUAAUAUCAUAUGAAAUCUAUUUCAAAGCAUUGUACAGAAUUCAUAUCCUUGAUACUUACAAUGCUGCAGUUAAUUAGCUAGGCUACAUGAAAAAAAAUGAAAAAUGAGAGAACAAUGAAAUGAAACCGAUGCCAAAGGAUCCUGGAAUGAGAACAAAGACAAGGAAAUGAAGCAAUUGGCAGCUACAGAGCAGUAAUCCAUCCAUAGGCAAAUUUCAGAUGAUAACUCAGAAAUAUUUGCUCAACAUUUCUUUUGUUUAGGACUAUCCUAAAUAAGUAAAGAAAACCAUCUAAAAAUUCAUCCAAAUAGGUAAGAAGCUAAAGAACAAAUAAAGCUAUUUGUCUUCACUCAUGAAUGCGUACCUGAAUAAAAAAUAACCGUGGGUGAAUUCGGUUUCGGCAUAGAGGAUUUAGAAAUGACAUAACCUUUUAGGGUUUUGAAUUGCAUUUCUGAGAAUAUGAUCAUGCAGGAAUUAAAGAUACUCUUCCUUUCUUUCUCUUUCAAUCUGUGUCUUAAGAACAGGGGACCUUUGUUACAUACUCUCGCAUACUCAGCACAUACAUGGGGAACAUCCUGUGUGACUUAGAUGAAAUAACCUCCUGGUGUCACUAGCCACUCCCCUACAAAAUGACACUGAGAAUACUGAGUCACCCUAAGCAUGGCCUUUGGGAUCAAUUGGUUAUUAAAAUGGUUUUAAGAAAGCUCAAGUGUUAUAUGUUAUUUAGUAAUUAUUGAACAACCUUAAUUUCAGGUUCUUUUUUUUCCCAUUUAUAUCUCACAAGUUUAAAGAAAAGUGGCAGAAAGUUUCCCCAUAUUGGAAGUGCUAGAGUGGCUGGAGGAAAUGAGUCAUCAAGAUAAUUUAUGAUCUUUCCCAUAACUUGCAGUGCACAGAACAUAGUAAUCCUUUGUUAUCCAGGCCACUCAAUGACCAAACUCCAGGACCUUGAUGGAAUAUAAUUAAAAUAGGAUUUCUGUAGACUCAAGUCUCUGCUGCAUAUCCCAAAAUGGCUUUACCUCAUCGCAAUAUGCACAUUUAAUAAUAUUUACUGUUUUUUUCUUUCCUACUACAUGAUCACAUGAAGCUAGUCUCAGUAAGAAAUUACUUUUUAAAUGAAUAAAAUAAAGUUCUUAGUUUCUAAGAACUUAUUGGUAGGAGAGAAAGAGAAGCCCCAAAGAGCUAAAAUACUCAGGAAAUAUGCUAAGAGUCACUGGAGAGACUGAAACUAUUAGAAGGGAGAGAGAGAGUUAAUUUGCAUUCAAACCAGGGAUUUUUACUUAGUUGUUUAGUUUUUUUUUUGUUUUGUUUUAAAAUCAGAAGAUUCUGGAUCAAUAUGGAAAAAAUUCUAAUGAGUUGUGGUCUUUAAAACUCUUGAUAUUCAGGAAGCCAAAAGGAUAUUCUUCAACUUAUUUCUGGGGGGCUGGGGGGAUGUUCAGUGAUUUAAGGAAUCUAAGAAUUGGGUAGAGCCUUAUAUUUUUUAAAGAAGUUUUAUUUUUUCUACAGGUUUGUAAAAUUUCACUUUGUGAAUGCAUUUCUAGGUCCAAUACGUAUUACCUUAAAUAUUUUCUCACCACUGAAAUGUGAUUCAGCCUGAUUGGGUAUUAAGGGGUGUCCUCCAGGCCCAGAGCAAUGAUAGCUUUUCACAUCCUGUCUUCUUGUAAUCACCCCAUCAUAAAGCACUUAUCCUUAACACCUCAGAAAAUUGGGCAAGCCCUGUCCUUUUGUCUGCCACAUUAUUUAUCACAGAGAUGCAGCACAUUGACAAUUCCAGACACCACGCAUGGGAAAAGGAAUUUCUAAAGUAACACAUCAACCUCCCUUUGAGCAACAGGAAACUCCAUUCUGUGUGAGAAUAUUUGCUGAGUCAAACUCUGGUUUGGUAAAAUAUUUUGUUGGGUGGAUCUAAUUCAACCCUUUAAAAAGUCAUCUGACUCACUCCAUGGAAAACACAUUUUGGACAUUGUUAAGCCCUGGCUGUGCUAGCCCAUUACCUGCCCUUCUGGAGACCUUAGACCACAUAUCUGUACAUGUGUAUGUGCAUAUGUGUACCACACACAGUUCUGUAUUACCUGAGGUCAUCUCUCAGUUGCUCAGUGGAACGCUAAAUGCAUUUUCCUAAAAGUUGGGUAUUCGCCAAAGUAUGAAAAUCGUAAAAAUUUAAAAUAUUUUCUUCCAUUUCUAGACAGUGAGCCCCAGUUUUUAGUUUAGAAAGUAUAUACCAUGAUGCUACUGACCUGCCAUCAGUACAGCGUAUGCUCUUGGCAAUCUAGUGCUAAUCAAUCCAACUUACUCAUCUGUGAAUAAUAAAUGGAAUUUUAAGAUGCCCUGCCUAGAUUUUGUGGGGUGACCCAAUCAGGUAGAGGCUGGAAGCAUAGGAGGUGAAAGAAUUUAUGCAAAGCAGAACAAAGGAGAUGCGAGUUUACUGAAUACAUUGCAAAGGAGCAGCAGGCAGGAUAGCAAAGGAGAGACUGCAAGGAGACAGUGGUGGGGGGCUGUAAUUAAGUGGGGGAGUGAGGAGGUAUGGGAGUGUAUGAAAUUUUCCUUUUAUGGUACCUGUGCCUGGUUGUAAGUAGCCCACUGGUCAGCUAGGGCUUACAGAUAUUUUGAGGUGCUGGCCUAAUAAGCCUAUUUGCGUUCAACCCAGUGGUCACUGUGGGCCCUUUUGCCUCACUCAGGUUUCCAUUGCUCAAGCCUGUUGCCUAAAAGUGGCUUCUACAGAUCUUGCGAAAUUUAUCUACUGCAAUGGGUUGGAACCAAGUUAUGACCACUACAGGGAACAAUAAGGGGCAAAGAGGGAUAUGUGGUUUCCUAAAAUUACGUGCUGAAUAAUUGGGAAAGAGUAAGAUACACAUAAAUCUCAUAUAGGACAGAGAUUCCAAAAGAAUCACUGUAAUCACAAUACUGGACCUCUGCGUCUCCAUCUCUGAGAUGUUUAUAAUCUCUUUUGUAUAAAAGCUUUUCCAAAGUCUGAUUCUUUUAAGGCAUCUAAUUUGUGCUCCUAUGUGCUGCUUCCCACACUUAGCACUCCUUUUUGGAAAGAUUUCUACAGCAUGUAGGCCUGAUUUUUAAGUGGAAUGUAAGUAAGAAUUGUUAAUUAGCCACGGUGGUUAUUAAACAUAGAAACACUUAGACCUGCUAAUUCAGGUCUUAAUUCUAAUGGUGCAUUCAUCAAAUUAACAAUUAAUCAAUAAUUAUUUCCUUACUUAAAGGGUGAAGUGAGGUGGAGGAAGCAGUAUUAAUCUUCUUUAAAUAGUCUACUAUGGGUUAUGCAUUUUACACACAGUAUCUUACUCCCAAUUCAUGACAAAUGCUAUUCUUAGCCCCGUUUUGCUAAUGAGAAGGAAAUGGAGACUCAAAAGAAAUUAAUAACCAGCCUGAGGUCACAGGGCUAAUAGUCAGCAGAGCUGGAACUUGAAUUUUGGUGGGUCACAAAAUCCAGGCUCUUUUUAAAACACUAAGCUGCCUCCUUAUUAUCCCAGUUGAGUUGCUAUUGCCCAAAUGAAGAACGGUAAACCCAAAACAUAAAACCAAGGAAAGAUGGGGGGUGAGAAUGUCCCUGUAUGAUCCACAUUUAUUUUGUUCCUUCCUGGCAGCUCAAAUAACCAUAGAAUCCCUGGUGAUCCUAAGCAUUUGAAGAUGAAUGCAUGAGGUAUGGAAAGUACUUGCACUGAAGAGCCAACUGAUCAGCUAAUCAUUCCAACAUGUAGUACAUAGCAGCCUCCACCGUACUGCAUGCCCAGAGAAAAUGAAAUAGAGAAGAAAGAAAGUACCACAGCUCCUUUUAUUGGAGCAGAAACAUGAAAGAGAAGGUUAAGCAAUAACACAUAUGAACAUUCAUUUGCAAUUACUUCUCUUCUAACUUAAUGUAGGGCCUUGGGUUAUACAAUAAACUAGCAGUUUGGGCACUUCAAGGCAUAAUAACUUCCUCUCUUUUCAUAGAUCAGAGUCAGAGAAUAACUCUCCCAAGUCGCAUGUCCCCAUAAGCCUCUACAAUAAGCCUUUUGGUGCUGAAUGGUCUGUAUUUUUUAGCCUUCUAAGUGACCUUCUAACACUUUCCUUCAAAACCUCAUGCCUGUGGUUUCCUAAAUCUUCCAGAGAUCUUUUUCUUAGGAACUGCUUUCCUUUUUUUUUAAAUUUUGCACCACUCCCUCUAAUUAAUGACAGUACGAAAUUUACCAGUUGGGAAUCUUCUUAAAGAUGACAUACAAAUCAAUUAUUUGGGAUUAAAAUGAAUUUCCUAAAUGGUUAUGUAUCCAGAUGAAUGUAUAGUUAAUAAAUGAUCUCUCUGAGCUAUGGAACUGAAAUACCAUCCAACCUAUCUCUAGACAUCAUUUAUAGCAUUGUUUUUAUCAGGAAAAAUGUAUUCUCAGUUCUGUAUGUAUUUAUUUAUGCAAGAAAUAUUAAUGAAUGCCCACUAAAGGCCAGGUAGCAUGGCCAAAAUGCUAACUAAUACCCGUGAGCUUCUGGGGCAUUCAACCUAGUGAUUCACUCAGUGAAUUCAAUACAUUAACUUAACACACACACACCAAAAACAAGUGUGAAUGGGGAAAAUGCAAAUGUUGGUGAACAUAAUGCAGGGGCGACUAACAUAAAUAAUGAAGAUAAACAAGAGUAAGCAGGUAAAGAUAGUGUUAAAGAAGAGACAGGUCCCAGGCAAAGAGAACAUGUGUAAAAGAUGAAGCUAGAGAAAGCAAGCAGUUAAAUGAAAACACUCAAAAAUUAGAGCAAACUGGAACUUGGGUGCAAAGAGGGUUAGUGAUAGGGUGACACUGGGCAGAUGAAUAGGCGGAUUGCGCCUCAGUGGGUUUAGGAGCCAUGUGAAAGAGUUUAAACUUUGUCUUAGGAAGAGGGAAGAGUUAAAACAAGUCAAUCACAUGGUCAUAUAUUCUUUUUUUUUAAGAUGUGCCUGUUAAACUUAGGAAGGCAUAAGAAUCAUCCCGAGAGCUUUGUAAAGUACAGUUUCUUAGGGUCUACUACAGACAGUAUGAACAGUAGGCCUGCAAUGGGGCUUGAGAAUUUGCAUUUCUCAUAAGCUCCUAGGUGAUGUGGAUGCUCCUGG